UGGGGAAUAUUGCACAAUGGGCGCAAGCCUGAUGCAGCCAUGCCGCGUGUAUGAAGAAGGCCUUCGGGUUGUAAAGUACUUUCAGCGGGGAGGAAGGUGUUGUGGUUAAUAACCACAGCAAUUGACGUUACCCGCAGAAGAAGCACCGGCUAACUCCGUGCCAGCAGCCGCGGUAAUACGGAGGGUGCAAGCGUUAAUCGGAAUUACUGGGCGUAAAGCGCACGCAGGCGGUCUGUCAAGUCGGAUGUGAAAUCCCCGGGCUCAACCUGGGAACUGCAUCCGAAACUGGCAGGCUUGAGUCUUGUAGAGGGGGGUAGAAUUCCAGGUGUAGCGGUGAAAUGCGUAGAGAUCUGGAGGAAUACCGGUGGCGAAGGCGGCCCCCUGGACAAAGACUGACGCUCAGGUGCGAAAGCGUGGGGAGCAUACA
Molecule: ribosomal RNA, 427 nt
Filed under: uncultured bacterium
Lineage: Bacteria
Description: partial 16S ribosomal RNA
Rfam family: Bacterial small subunit ribosomal RNA
Source: RNAcentral